CCUACGGGAGGCAGCAGUGGGGAAUAUUGCACAAUGGGCGCAAGCCUGAUGCAGCCAUGCCGCGUGUAUGAAGAAGGCCUUCGGGUUGUAAAGUACUUUCAGCGGGGAGGAAGGCGGUGUGGUUAAUAACCUCGACGAUUGACGUUACCCGCAGAAGAAGCACCGGCUAACUCCGUGCCAGCACCCGCGGUAAUACGGAGGGUGCAAGCGUUUAUUGGAAUUUCUGGGGGUAAAGCGCACGCAGGCGGUCUGUUAAGUCAGAUGUGAAAUCCCCGGGCUUAACCUGGGAACCGCAUUUGAAACUGGCAGGCUUGAGUCUGGUAGAGGGGGGUAGAAUUCCAGGUGUAGCGGUGAAAUGCGUAGAGAUCUGGAGGAAUACCGGUGGCGAAGGCGGCCCCCUGGACGAAGACUGACGGUCAGGUGCGAAAGCGUGGGGAGCAAACAGGAUUAGAUACCUUGGUAGUCCACGCCGUAAGCGAUGUCCUCUUGGAGGUUGUUCCCCUGAGGCCUCGCUGCCGGAGCUAACGCGUUAAGUAGACCGCCUGGGGAUACGUCGAAG
This 559-nucleotide ribosomal RNA is filed under the name uncultured Pantoea sp. RNAcentral describes it as "bacterial SSU rRNA". It matches the Rfam family "Bacterial small subunit ribosomal RNA", at positions 338 to 891 of the family's 1533-position model. The record is from RNAcentral. Lineage: Bacteria; Pseudomonadati; Pseudomonadota; Gammaproteobacteria; Enterobacterales; Erwiniaceae.